Molecule: non-coding RNA, 102 nt
Filed under: Oceanobacillus massiliensis
Lineage: Bacteria; Bacillati; Bacillota; Bacilli; Caryophanales; Bacillaceae
Description: SAM riboswitch (S box leader)
Rfam family: SAM riboswitch aptamer (S box leader)
About the family: The SAM riboswitch is found upstream of a number of genes which code for proteins involved in methionine or cysteine biosynthesis in Gram-positive bacteria. The SAM riboswitch acts at the level of transcription termination control.
Source: RNAcentral
UCUUAUCCAGAGAGACGGAGGGACUGGCCCUUUGAUGUCUCAGCAACCUGCCGUUACAGGUUAAGGUGCUAAUUCCAGUAGGCAAAUGCCUAACAGAUAAGA